AAGACAACCCUGCACAAGGAAAGAAUUCCAGUGGCACAGUCAGUAAUUCAGUGAGUACUACACCUUCAGAACCACAAAAUGAAACAAACACACCACCCAGUCCUGGAAGUCACUCUAAGUACAAGACUCAGGUGUUUGUUAGCUCUGUGAAAAUUCCACGGCGUAGCAGUAGCAGCUGUAGUAUCAAAAGUCCUCCACCUUUGCCAGAAGCAAUAGAGGAAGAACCAUUUUCAGAGACCAAAGCAGUGAAAUCUGAAGUUUUAAUUCCAGCUGUGCCCAGCUUAAAUCUGAACAACAAACAAGAAAGCCUUCCUAGUUCUCAGCAGACAUCAACA
This is a long non-coding RNA of Nanorana parkeri, 335 nucleotides long. RefSeq lists it as uncharacterized. Lineage: Eukaryota; Metazoa; Chordata; Amphibia; Anura; Dicroglossidae. The record is from RefSeq and is a predicted model, not a curated record. The transcript is spliced from 3 exons.